UCACUUACCUGGACGGGUUCAAUGGAUGAUCAUGAAGGUCCAUUGCCUAGGUUGGUGACCUCCAUUGCAUUUUGGAGGAGUGCCCGCCUAAGAUCGUCCCAAGUGGUCGAGUCUACGUCAUAAUUUAUGGCAGUGGAGGCCUGCGUUCGAACGCAGACCUCUG
This 163-nucleotide small nuclear RNA is filed under the name Helianthus annuus (common sunflower). RNAcentral describes it as "U1 spliceosomal RNA". It matches the Rfam family "U1 spliceosomal RNA". From Rfam's summary of the family: U1 is a small nuclear RNA (snRNA) component of the spliceosome (involved in pre-mRNA splicing). The record is from RNAcentral. Lineage: Eukaryota; Viridiplantae; Streptophyta; Magnoliopsida; Asterales; Asteraceae.